GUCCACGCCCGUAAACGAUGUCUACUUGGAGGUUGUGCCCUUGAGCCGUGGCUUUUCGGAGCUAACGCGUUAAGUAGACCGCCUGAGGAGUACGGUCGCAAGAUUAAAACUCAAAUGAAUUGACGGGGGCCCGCACAAGCGGUGGAGCAUGUGGUUUAAUUCGCUGCAACGGCGAAGAACCUUACCUACUCUUGACAUCCAGAGAACUUUCCAGAGAUGGGAUUGGUGCCUUCGGGAACUCUGAGACAGGUGCUGCAUGGCUGUCGUCAGCUCGUGUUGUGAAAUGUUGGGUUAAGUCCCGCAACGAGCGCAACCCUUAUCCUUGUUUGCCAGCGAGUAAUGUCGGGAACUCCAGGGAGACUGCCGGUGAUAAACCGGAGGAAGGUGGGGACGACGUCAAGUCAUCAUGGCCCUUACGAGUAGGGCUACACACGUGCUACAAUGGCGCAUACAGAGGGCGGCCAACUUGCGAGAGUGAGCGAAUCCCAAAAAGUGCGUCGUAGUCCGGAUUGGAGUCUGCAACUCGACUCCAUGAAGUCGGAAUCGCUAGUAAUCGUGGAUCAGAAUGCCACGGUGAAUACGUUCCCGGGCCUUGUACACACCGCCCGU
This 609-nucleotide ribosomal RNA is filed under the name uncultured bacterium. Its description in RNAcentral is "bacterial SSU rRNA". It matches the Rfam family "Bacterial small subunit ribosomal RNA", at positions 793 to 1397 of the family's 1533-position model. The record is from RNAcentral.